Molecule: ribosomal RNA, 1479 nt
Filed under: uncultured bacterium
Lineage: Bacteria
Description: 16S ribosomal RNA
Rfam family: Bacterial small subunit ribosomal RNA
Source: RNAcentral
AGAGUUUGAUCCUGGCUCAGGAUGAACGCUAGCGGCAGGCUUAACACAUGCAAGUCGAGGGGUAACAGGGUAGCAAUACUGCUGACGACCGGCGCACGGGUGAGUAUCGCGUAUGCAACCUACCUUUAACUGGGGGAUAGCUUNNNNNNNNNNNNNNNNNNNNNNNNNNNNNNNNNNNNNNNNNAUGACUGAAAAGAUAAAACUCCGGUGGUUACAGAUGGGCAUGCGUGACAUUAGCUAGUUGGUAAGGUAACGGCUUACCAAGGCUACGAUGUCUAGGGGUUCUGAGAGGAUGAUCCCCCACACUGGUACUGAGACACGGACCAGACUCCUACGGGAGGCAGCAGUGAGGAAUAUUGGUCAAUGGGCGCAAGCCUGAACCAGCCAUCCCGCGUGCAGGAUGACGGCCCUAUGGGUUGUAAACUGCUUUUAUACACCAAGAAAAAUCCCCACGUGUGGGGACCCGACGGUACCGUAAGAAUAAGGAUCGGCUAACUCCGUGCCAGCAGCCGCGGUAAUACGGAGGAUCCAAGCGUUAUCCGGAUUUACUGGGUUUAAAGGGUGCGUAGGCGGAUUGAUAAGUCAGUGGUGAAAGCCUGCAGCUUAACUGCAGAACUGCCAUUGAUACUGCCAGUCUGGAGUAUGGUUGAGGUAGCUGGAAUGUGUCAUGUAGCGGUGAAAUGCUUAGAGAUGACACAGAACACCGACGGCGAAGGCAGGUUACCAACCCAUUACUGACGCUGAGGCACGAAAGCGUGGGGAUCAAACAGGAUUAGAUACCCUGGUAGUCCACGCCGUAAACGAUGAGUACUAGGUGUUGGCGAUAUACAGCAAGCGGCUGAGCGAAAGCAUUAAGUACUCCGCCUGGGGAGUACGGUCGCAAGACUAAAACUCAAAGGAAUUGACGGGGGCCCGCACAAGCGGUGGAGCAUGUGGUUUAAUUCGACGCAACGCGAAGAACCUUACCUGGGCUUGACAUCUGCGGAAUCUUCGUGAAAGCGAUAAGCGCAAGGGAACCGUAUACGAGGUGCUGCAUGGUUGUCGUCAGCUCGUGCCGUGAGGUGUUAGGUUAAGUCCUGCAACGAGCGCAACCCUUACCUUUAGUUGCCAGCAUGUAAUGAUGGGGACUCUAAAGAGACUGCCGGUGUAAACCGCGAGGAAGGUGGGGAUGACGUCAAAUCAUCACGGCCCUUACGUCCUGGGCUACACACGUGCUACAAUGGGCUGAACAGAGGGCAGCUACCAGGUGACUGGAUGCGAAUCUUUAAAAUCGGUCUCAGUUCGGAUUGUAGGCUGCAACUCGCCUCCGUGAAGUCGGAUUCGCUAGUAAUCGCGCAUCAGCCAUGGCGCGGUGAAUACGUUCCCGGGCCUUGUACACACCGCCCGUCAAGCCAUGGAAGUUGGGGGUGCCUAAAGUUCGUGACCGCAAGGAGCGACCUAGGGUAAAACCAAUGACUGGGGCUAAGUCGUAACAAGGUA